AACGAACGCUGGCGGCAUGCCUAACACAUGCAAGUCGAACGAUCCCUUCGGGGAUAGUGGCGCACGGGUGCGUAACGCGUGGGAACCUGCCCUUAGGUUCGGAAUAACUCAGAGAAAUUUGAGCUAAUACCGGAUAAUGUCUUCGGACCAAAGAUUUAUCGCCUUUGGAUGGGCCCGCGUUGGAUUAGCUAGUUGGUGGGGUAAAGGCCUACCAAGGCGACGAUCCAUAGCUGGUCUGAGAGGAUGAUCAGCCACACUGGGACUGAGACACGGCCCAGACUCCUACGGGAGGCAGCAGUGGGGAAUAUUGGGCAAUGGGCGAAAGCCUGAUCCAGCAAUGCCGCGUGAGUGAUGAAGGCCUUAGGGUUGUAAAGCUCUUUUACCCGGGAUGAUAAUGACAGUACCGGGAGAAUAAGCCCCGGCUAACUCCGUG
This 433-nucleotide ribosomal RNA is filed under the name uncultured bacterium. Its description in RNAcentral is "partial 16S ribosomal RNA". It matches the Rfam family "Bacterial small subunit ribosomal RNA", at positions 29 to 507 of the family's 1533-position model. The record is from RNAcentral.